UGCCGGUGGUAACUUGAUAGGGCCCGA
This 27-nucleotide small RNA is filed under the name Bombyx mori (domestic silkworm). Its description in RNAcentral is "piRNA piR-bmo-1907989". The record is from RNAcentral. Lineage: Eukaryota; Metazoa; Arthropoda; Insecta; Lepidoptera; Bombycidae.